This 370-nucleotide ribosomal RNA is filed under the name uncultured eukaryote. RNAcentral describes it as "partial 18S ribosomal RNA". It matches the Rfam family "Eukaryotic small subunit ribosomal RNA", at positions 592 to 976 of the family's 1831-position model. The record is from RNAcentral.
CGAUAGCGUAUAUUAAAGUUGUUGCAGUUAAAAAGCUCGUAGUUGGAUUUCUGGUCGGAAGCUCCUGUCCUCUGAUGAGCGUACAAGUGCGUCCUACCAUCCUUCUGUUAACCUUUAAGGCUUUCGCGGCUUUCUAGGGGCUCAGAUAUUUUACCUUGAGAAAAUUAGAGUGUUUCAGGCAGGCUAGCGCCGGAAUACAUUAGCAUGGAAUAAUGGAAUAGGACUUUUGCCUCUUCUGUUGGUCAUGAGGCUCGAGUAAUGAUUAAUAGGGAUAGUUGGGGGCAUUAGUACUUAACUGUCAGAGGUGAAAUUCUCGGAUUUGUUAAAGACUAACUUAUGCGAAAGCAUUUGCCAAGGAUGUUUUCAUUAA